This 598-nucleotide long non-coding RNA is filed under the name Salmo salar (Atlantic salmon). RNAcentral describes it as "lncRNA (ENSSSAG00000104061.1)". The record is from RNAcentral. Lineage: Eukaryota; Metazoa; Chordata; Actinopteri; Salmoniformes; Salmonidae.
AAAGAUAACAGUGAAUAUGAGACAUGGGGGAAGGUAGAAGAUAACAGUGAAUAUGAGACAUGGAGGAAGGUAGAAAGAUAACAGUGAAUAUGAGACAUGGGGGAAGGUAGAAAGAUAACAGUGAAUAUGAGACAUGGGGGAAGGUAGAAAGAUAACAGUGAAUAUGAGACAUGGAGGAAGGUAGAAAGAUAACAGUGAAUAUGAGACAUGGAGGAAGGUAGAAAUAUAACAGUGAAUAUGAGACAUGGAGGAAGGUAGAAAGAUAACAGUGAAUAUGAGACAUGGAGGAAGGUAUUGGGAAGGUAGAAAGGUAACAGUGAAUAUGAGCCAUGGGGGAAGGUAGAAAGAUAACGGUGAAUUUGAGACAUGGGGGAAGGUAGAAAGAUAACAGUGAAUAUGAGAUAUGGGGGAAGGUAGAAAGAUAACAGUGAAUAUGAGACAUGGAGGAAGGUAGAAAGAUAACAGUGAAUGAGACAUGGGGGAAGGUAGAAAGAUAACAGUGAAUGAGACAUGGGGGAAGGUAGAAAGAUAACAGUGAAUAUGAGACAUGGAGGAAGGUAGAAAGAUAACAGUGAAUAUGAGACAUGGAGGAAGGUAG